GAUGAACGCUGGCGGCGUGCUUAACACAUGCAAGUCGAGCGAAGCACUUUUGCGGAUUUCUUCGGAUUGAAGCAAUUGUGACUGAGCGGCGGACGGGUGAGUAACGCGUGGGUAACCUGCCUCAUACAGGGGGAUAACAGUUGGAAACGGCUGCUAAUACCGCAUAAGCGCACAGUACCGCAUGGUACCGUGUGAAAAACUCCGGUGGUAUGAGAUGGACCCGCGUCUGAUUAGGUAGUUGGUGGGGUAACGGCCUACCAAGCCGACGAUCAGUAGCCGACCUGAGAGGGUGACCGGCCACAUUGGGACUGAGACACGGCCCAAACUCCUACGGGAGGCAGCAGUGGGGAAUAUUGCACAAUGGGGGAAACCCUGAUGCAGCGACGCCGCGUGAGCGAUGAAGUAUUUCGGUAUGUAAAGCUCUAUCAGCAGGGAAGAAAAUGACGG
This 447-nucleotide ribosomal RNA is filed under the name uncultured bacterium. RNAcentral's name for it is "bacterial SSU rRNA". It matches the Rfam family "Bacterial small subunit ribosomal RNA", at positions 28 to 457 of the family's 1533-position model. The record is from RNAcentral.